Molecule: ribosomal RNA, 462 nt
Filed under: Triticum aestivum (bread wheat)
Lineage: Eukaryota; Viridiplantae; Streptophyta; Magnoliopsida; Poales; Poaceae
Description: partial small subunit ribosomal RNA
Source: RNAcentral
AUGUGUCAAGUUUGUGUGCAAGCUAAGCAACCUCGUAAGUCUCACACGACUGCGGAAACGAGAAAUCUUGCACCACUAGAGCUCAUACAUUCAGAUCUAUGUGAAAUGAAUGGUGUUUUGACAAAAGGUGGAAAGAAAUAUUUCAUGACGUUAAUUGACGACUCCACUAGAUACUGCCGUGUGUAUCUUCUAAAAUCUAAGGAUGAGGCUUUGAACUUUUUCAAGAUCUAUAAAGCUGAAGUGGAAAACCAACUUGAUCAAAAAAUCAAGAGGCUUAGGUCCGACCGUGGUGGAGAGUAUUUUUCCAAUGAAUUUGAUGCUUUUUGUGCGGAACAUGGUAUAAUCCAUGAGAGGACACCUCCCUAUUCACCUCAGUCAAAUGGGGUGGCCGAAAGAAAGAACCGUACUCCAAUUGAUUUGGUUAACGCCAUGUUAGACACAUCGGGUCUCUCCAAGGCAUGA